AUCUUAAAAAGUUUAUAUGAUGUUCCAUAUGUCCAUUGGUUUAUUGCUACUGUUUUGCUGUUCUGUCCAAUCGUGUUCUUCAAGAUUUAGCACGUGAAAGCCUUAUAUAAUUUAUUUCGAUGGUGUAUUAGUUUGAUCUUUUGAUUUUCAAUAGAAUAGUUCAUCUCUAAACCAAUGAUCUAGUUCUCAAGUUAUGAAUAUCUUUUGAUGUUAACUUCCGUAGGCAUGUGACACCUGCUAGUUCUAAUCAAAA
This 253-nucleotide long non-coding RNA is filed under the name Brassica napus (rape). Its description in RNAcentral is "long non-coding RNA (BNAP_LNC000728)". The record is from RNAcentral. Lineage: Eukaryota; Viridiplantae; Streptophyta; Magnoliopsida; Brassicales; Brassicaceae.